CGGUGAAUACGUUCCCGGACCUUGUACACACCGCCCGUCAAGCCAUGGAAGCCGGGUGUACCUAAAGUCGAUAACCGCAAGGAGUCGCCUAGGGUAAAACUAGUGACUGGGGCU
RNAcentral lists this ribosomal RNA (114 nucleotides) under uncultured bacterium. RNAcentral describes it as "partial 16S ribosomal RNA". It matches the Rfam family "Bacterial small subunit ribosomal RNA", at positions 1360 to 1482 of the family's 1533-position model. The record is from RNAcentral.